UCGCGGCUUAUCACCGGCAGUCCCCUUAGAGUGCUCAACUAAAUGGUAGCAACUAAGGGCGAGGGUUGCGCUCGUUGCGGGACUUAACCCAACAUCUCACGACACGAGCUGACGACAGCCAUGCAGCACCUGUGUUCCCGCCAGCCGAACUGAAGGGCUCCAUCUCUGGAACCCACACGGGACAUGUCAAGGGCCGGUAAGGUUCUGCGCGUUGCUUCGAAUUGAACCACAUGCUCCACCGCUUGUGCGGGCCCCCGUCAAUUCAUUUGAGUUUCAACCUUGCGGUCGUACUUCCCAGGUGGGAUACUUAAUGCUUUCGCUCAGACACUAACUGUGUAUCGCUAAUGUCGAGUAUCCAUCGUUUAGGGCGUGGACUAC
This 378-nucleotide unclassified non-coding RNA is filed under the name uncultured bacterium. Its description in RNAcentral is "contains 16S-23S intergenic spacer region". The record is from RNAcentral.